Molecule: small RNA, 640 nt
Filed under: Malassezia pachydermatis
Lineage: Eukaryota; Fungi; Basidiomycota; Malasseziomycetes; Malasseziales; Malasseziaceae
Description: eukaryotic LSU rRNA
Rfam family: Eukaryotic large subunit ribosomal RNA
Source: RNAcentral
GCAUAUCAAUAAGCGGAGGAAAAGAAACUAACAAGGAUUCCCCUAGUAACGGCGAGCGAAGCGGGAAGAGCUCAAAUUUGAAAGCUGGCACCUUCGGUGUCCGCGUUGUAAUCUCGAGACGUGUUUUCCGUGUGGCGCUAUGGACAAGUCCCUUGGAACAGGGCAUCGUAGAGGGUGAAAAUCCCGUACUUGCCAUGGAUGUACCAUGCUUUGUGAUACACGCUCUAAGAGUCGAGUUGUUUGGGAUUGCAGCUCAAAAUGGGUGGUAGACUCCAUCUAAAGCUAAAUAUCGGGGAGAGACCGAUAGCGAACAAGUACCGUGAGGGAAAGAUGAAAAGCACUUUGGAAAGAGAGUUAAAAGUACGUGAAAUUGUCGAAAGGGAAGCGCUUGAAGUCAGCCAUGCUGCUUGAGACUCAGCCUUGCUUUUGCUUGGUGUAUUUCUCGGUAGCAAGCCAGCAUUGGUUUGAGUCGUCGGAGAAGGGUACGAGAAAUGUGGCAUCCUCGGAUGUGUUAUAGACUUGUACUGGAUACGACGAUUUGGAUCAAGGAACGCAGUGUGCCUCUGGCGGGUCUUCGGACACCUUCACACUUAGGAUGCUGGCGUAAUGGCUUUAAGCGGCCCGUCUUGAAACACGGACC